Long non-coding RNA from Pocillopora damicornis (cauliflower coral), 442 nucleotides. NCBI's taxonomy places the organism in Eukaryota, Metazoa, Cnidaria, Anthozoa, Scleractinia, Pocilloporidae. The record is from RefSeq and is a predicted model, not a curated record.
AAGGAAUAUAGGCUAUGGAGUUUUUGGUUUUCCAAAACCAUUGUAUUUAAUCUUUUUCUUUUGUUUUAGAUUGACAUAAGCUUAGAUGGAUCGUCCAGGGAAAACUCCGCAAGAGAAUACUGAUGACAAGCCAGCAACUGUUAGAGGGGUAAUUAUCCCAGACAACAAUGAGGCAAGGCUUGCCCAGCUACAGGAAGCCUUAAACCUAUUUAGGAGUGGAUUGCAGCUAAUUUCUGAAGCCCUCAAUACCAUGGGACAGAUAAUUCCACCUGAACCAGAUCCUUAAUCCUAAGAACAAGGUCUAUACGAAGAGCAUUAUAGAUAGCUUCAUUGCAAGAAAUAUUUACUAAGUGUUAUUAGUUAGUUGUUCAAAAUGCUUUAUUAGAAUUUGAAUUGUAAGUUAUAGUGCCAAAGUGCCUUGAGUAGUGUUUGCCUCCAUGAU